UACAGAGGUCCCAAGCGUUGUUCGGAUUCACUGGGCGUAAAGGGUGCGUAGGCGGUCGGGUAAGUCUGAUGUGAAAUCUCACAGCUUAACUGUGAAACUGCAUUGGAUACUAUCCGGCUCGAGGAAUGGAGGGGAGACUGGAAUACUUGGUGUAGCAGUGAAAUGCGUAGAUAUCAAGUGGAACACCAGUGGCGAAGGCGGCCUGCUGGGCUGCACCUGACGCUGAGCCGCGAAAGCCAGGGGAGCGAACGGG
This 253-nucleotide ribosomal RNA is filed under the name uncultured bacterium. RNAcentral's name for it is "partial 16S ribosomal RNA". It matches the Rfam family "Bacterial small subunit ribosomal RNA", at positions 524 to 776 of the family's 1533-position model. The record is from RNAcentral.